CAGUAGCCACGGGAAUACGUAGGUGGCAAGCGCUGUCCGGAAUUAUUGGGCGUAAAGGGCUCGCAGGCGGUUUCUUAAGUCUGAUGUGAAGGCCCCCGGCUCAACCGGGGAGGGUCAUUGGAAACUGGGAAACUUGAGUGCAGAAGAGGAGAGUGGAAUUCCACGUGUAGCGGUGAAAUGCGUAGAGAUGUGGAGGAACACCAGCGGCGAAGGCGACUCUCUGGUCUGUAACUGACGCUGAGGAGCGAAAGCGUGGGGAGCGAACAGGAUUAGAUACCCCGGUAGUCCCUGUCUCUUAUAC
RNAcentral lists this ribosomal RNA (301 nucleotides) under uncultured bacterium. Its description in RNAcentral is "partial 16S ribosomal RNA". It matches the Rfam family "Bacterial small subunit ribosomal RNA", at positions 509 to 807 of the family's 1533-position model. The record is from RNAcentral.